AAGAGGUAUCCCCAGAAACAGAGUAAAUUUUUAAUAUUAAUGACAACAUGGUGAAUUCAUCAGGAAGACAGAAGAAUGCCAAAUACGUAUGCAUUUAACAGCGUAGAUUCGCAUUUAAGAAACCUAGGAAAUCCAGGAUGUGGCUGAUUUUGACCAUGGAAGAUAGCAGAAGAAUAUCACAGUAACUGCAUCCCCAGGGGAGAGCUGGAGAGAAGUCAGCAGUGAAAAUUCUAGAAAAAGAAACAGGAUGCCAUGGGGCAGCGUGGACAGUGCAGACACGUGGCAGCGAGUGGGGACACCACUGGUGACCCUUGCGGCUAGGCGCUGGAGAAGAUGCUGUCUUCUUGGAGCAAGGUGAGAGGGGCCUGCGAUUGCCUGUCAUUGGUUGUAUUGGAGAACCUUACAGAUCACAUGGACUUCGCCUGGAGAGCUAGCAGGGGGCAGAGUGCCCACCCAGCCCCGUGAAGGGAGAGCACAUUGCUUCUCCCAUCCCCCAACACGGGCACCUGGUGACUUGCCGGGAGGAAGUACCAUCUCAACACGGCGAGUAGAGCUGCUGCAGCUCCAGCAUGCAUAACCAGGUGGUUUGAUCACAGGGAUUAAUCCUCUGUCACCACUGACUUUCAGGCUGGCCUGGAGGGUUGGCAGGGCAUGGAGGGCCCACUCAGGCCUUGCGAGGUGCUCCCCUCUCCUCACUCUAUCACAGGGACCCAUGCUCAAACUGCCAAGGUGCAACAUCGACAGGCGCUGGCUCUGGGAAUGCCUCGGCUCCUUCUGGAGAUGGAGCAGAGUCACUGGGCUGAGUGGAGUCUCUCUUCUCUGUGUCUGCACAAGAGGGCAUGGGGACAGUGUAGACUGUUCUCUGUGUCUGCACAAGAGGGGGUGGGGAGAGUGGAGACCCUGUUCUCUGUGUCUGCACAAGAGGGGAUGGGGAGAGUGGAGACCCUGUUCUCUGUGUCUGCACAAGAGGGAUGGGGACAGUGUAGACCCUGUUCUCUGUGUCUGCACAAGAGGGCGUGGGGACAGUGUAGACUCUGUUCUGUCUACACAAGAGGGUGUGGGCUGCAGCUGGGUCUCUGGGCAAUCAAUGUCUGGCCUCCGGGACUCGGAGCUCCCUGUCUGGGGCUGGUUAUUGCUAAGGCUUCUACGCUCACACUGAGGACCACACAGACCCUUUGUGUGAUUCAGAUGCCUGAGUGGGAGGGGUGUGUAGCUCCAGUGGGCUCACCCUGGUAUUAAUCUCCUUGGCAAAGGGAGAUCACCAGCCCACAUGAACAUACCCUCCCAAUGCUGACAAUGGAGGAAAUCUAUGACGCCCAACUUGGGUGUCACCUUGACAUUUGCACCACCCUGAAGCACUGACCGGAGCUCCCUGGCCCCACCCAGCACACACCUCUGAAUGCUCACUGGAGGAGCAGACACACCACUAAGCUACAGAGGCAUAUUUAAGAGAAAAAGCCAUCAGAGGAGAAAACCAACAAGUUUUUCCACAAAUGACUAAAAAUAAGUGUAGAAAUUCAGAAACAUCAAGAAGGAAGACAAUGUUACUCCCUCAAAGUAACAACUCUGCAAUAUUAGAAUGUGAAGACAAAGGCAUUGCUGAAAUGCCUGAAAAAGGAAUUCAAAAGAAGGAUCCUAAGAUUCAUGGUGAGAAGCAAAUACAUAGUUAAAAAAAUCCAUACAUGACACGGAUCAAAAGAGAAAUCAAGCUGAAAUACUACAAAUCGAAAAUUCCAUAAGUCAAACAAGAAAUAUAGCUGAGAGCCUUAAGAACAGAAUUAGUGAGGAAGAAGCAAGAAUAUCUGAGCCAGAAGACAAAUUACUGGAAAUAUAUCAGUCAGACCAAAAAAAAAAAAAAAAACGAAGAAAUUAGAAGAAAAUAGUGUUCCAGAUUUAUGGGAAACUAUCGAACAACCUAACAUACGCAUCUUAGAAGGUUCUGAAGGUGUGGGAGGAAGAACAGAUUAGAAAUCCUAUUCAGUGAAGUAAGAGUAGAAAAUUUCCCUAAUUUAGACAAAGAAAGGGACAUCCAAGUACACUAUGACACAGUACAGUACAAACUUUCAACAGUAAAACAUAAAGAAAGGAAUCUACACUGUGUAUGAGAGAGACACCAGAUUAUUUCAGAGGAUCUCCAACUAGACACCCAGCUGACUUCUCAGAAAUUCUACAUGCUAAGACAGAAUGGAGAGACAUAAUCUAAGUUUUAAGAGAAACACACUUAACCCAGAGUAUUCUACCCUGAGAAGCUCUCAAUUAUGAAAGAAGGUGAACUAAAGACCUUCCAUAAAAAACAAAAAUUGAAAUAAUUUGUCACCACUCGUUUGGCCUUUCGAAAGAUGCUUAAGGAUGUGCUACACACAGAAGCAGAGAAAGUCCUCAUCUACCAGCACAAGUACAAAGGAAAUUCAAAGUAAACAAUAGGAAUGCUUAUGGAAAAAUGGCAGGGACAUGUCAUUACUUAUCAAUAGUAACUUUCAUGUAAAUGAUCUAAACUCUCCAGUUAAAAGAUACAAUCUGGCUGAAUGUAUUUAAAAGCAAGACACAGUUAUUUCCUGCCUUCAAGAAAUACAUUUCACAUCUCACCAACAAAGACACAUACAGACUGAAAGUAAAAGGAUGGAAAAAGAUAUUCCAGGCUGAUGGAGAGCAAAAAUGAACAUGUGUAGCCAUCCACCUAUCAGACAAAAUAGACUUUAACACAAAAUCUGUUAAAAGAGAACAUGAUUAAGUAACCAAUUCAACGGGAAGGUUUGAAUAUAAUAAAAGCCUAAGCACCUAAUGCCA
Molecule: long non-coding RNA, 2787 nt
Organism: Oryctolagus cuniculus (rabbit)
Lineage: Eukaryota; Metazoa; Chordata; Mammalia; Lagomorpha; Leporidae
Source: Ensembl